GGAGUUUGGACCGUGUCUCAGUUCCAAUGUGGCCGAUCACCCUCUCAGGUCGGCUACUGAUCAUUGCCUUGGUGAGCCGUUACCUCACCAACUAACUAAUCAGACGCAGGCCCAUCCUUUGCCGAUAAAUCUUUGGCCGGAACACCAUGUGGUGUCUCGGUAUCAUCAGGUUUUAAUCCCGGUUUCCCGAGGCUAUCCCUGUGCAAAGGGCAGGUUGCCUACGCGUUACUCACCCGUCCGCCGCUUUCCGCCUGUAAAAUCAACCGAAGCGUCAAUUACAGGUUUCUCGCUCGACUUGCAUGUGUUAGGCACGCCGCCAGCGUUCAUC
Molecule: ribosomal RNA, 328 nt
Filed under: uncultured Clostridiaceae bacterium
Lineage: Bacteria; Bacillati; Bacillota; Clostridia; Eubacteriales; Clostridiaceae
Description: partial 16S ribosomal RNA
Source: RNAcentral